UAACAACCUGGAAACAGAUGCUAAUACCGGAUAACAACAGAUGAUGCCUAUCAACUGUUUAAAAGAUGGUUCUGCUAUCACUCUUGGAUGGACCUGCGGUGCAUUAGCUAGUUGGUAGGGUAACGGCCUACCAAGGCGAUGAUGCAUAGCCGAGUUGAGAGACUGAUCGGCCACAUUGGGACUGAGACACGGCCCAAACUCCUACGGGAGGCAGCAGGU
This 219-nucleotide ribosomal RNA is filed under the name uncultured Lactobacillus sp. RNAcentral's name for it is "partial 16S ribosomal RNA". It matches the Rfam family "Bacterial small subunit ribosomal RNA", at positions 144 to 354 of the family's 1533-position model. The record is from RNAcentral. Lineage: Bacteria; Bacillati; Bacillota; Bacilli; Lactobacillales; Lactobacillaceae.